Molecule: ribosomal RNA, 95 nt
Filed under: uncultured bacterium
Lineage: Bacteria
Description: partial 16S ribosomal RNA
Source: RNAcentral
UACACACCGCCCGUCACACCAUGGGAGUGGGUGCACCAGAAGUAGGUGGCUAACCGCAAGGAGGCCGCUUACCACGGUACGCUCAUGACUGGGUG